Molecule: ribosomal RNA, 235 nt
Filed under: uncultured bacterium
Lineage: Bacteria
Description: partial 16S ribosomal RNA
Rfam family: Bacterial small subunit ribosomal RNA
Source: RNAcentral
CGGACGGGUGAGUAACACGUAGGUAACCUGCCGCGCAGAGGGGGAUAACGACUAGAAAUGGUCGCUAACACCGCAUGGUACUAGAAAAGGGGGACUUUUUCUGGUUAAAACCUUGGUGCUGCGCGAGGGGCCUGCGUCCGAUUAGUUAGUUGGUGAGGUAAAGGCUCACCAAGACGAUGAUCGGUAGCUGGUCUGAGAGGAUGAUCAGUCACACGGGAACUGAGACACGGUCCCG